Long non-coding RNA from Neofelis nebulosa (Clouded leopard), 1485 nucleotides. RefSeq lists it as uncharacterized. The transcript has 2 exons. Lineage: Eukaryota; Metazoa; Chordata; Mammalia; Carnivora; Felidae. The record is from RefSeq and is a predicted model, not a curated record.
AAAAAAAAAAAAAAAACGGUGAUAGAGGGCUUCUGGGUGGUUUUUUGUUUUGUCUUUUGCUAUAACCCCUGGGCUCCUGCCAGUGAUGAUGCUGAGGGUGAUUCCAAUGUUGAGGGACAAGAGAAAAUGGACUUCUGGGUAAGAUCCAUUAUCUUAAUGCAGAUGAAAUUUUCAAUAAUUACAACUUCUUGUCAAACAUGCAGGCUCAAUUGAAAUAAAGUCGUGAAUGUGCCAGGAUUAUCUAGAUCAAUUCUCCUGUAUGUGUUAUCCCUGGUAGUCGAGAGAUAAAGCACCCAUCAUGCUAGGUAAUUAUGUGGAUAAGUGUGGCAAUUCCACAGUAACCCAGCCAUAAGUGAAUUCAGUGGGAACAAUUCAGGCUGAUGUAGCUGGAGGAGAGGAGGGGACCAGAGCAAAGUCCAGAUAGCAUUGUGACAAUCAUGGCCUCAUUUGUGCUGUCAGCAAUAAAGCACUAUAUCACUGCCUAUAGGAGGUAGGCACAAGGGUAAGUUAGAAUGAAUUCUAGACCAUCCCUCAGUGUUCCAGCUGGCAGAUUCCCGAAGUGCAGCACUUAUGAGCCAUGUGACCGGAAGAACAUGGCAAACUCAAUAUUAAGAACAUGGCCUUAGCACGUAAGAUCAGUGUGUGGCUCCUCUUGGUAAAGCAGAGAAUGAACACGCACAUGUGUGAGCACACACACACACACACACAGUCCAUCAAAACGGGGAGAAGUUACUUCUCAAUGUUGUAAAUUUAAAUGAAGUCCGGAGUAGUGAAGGCCAUUUGUAAGGUCUGCUGAGCUAAUGGAUUCAUAAUGACUUUUCAAGCUUCGCUCUGAGGUGGAGUCUGGGAAGAGCUUCAAGCUUGAAGGUGCAGCAGGUUAGGGGGGGAAGGGGUUGCGUUCCGGGAAGAGGUGAGAAGUCUGAGGAGCUGAAGCUCCCAGGAUCAUACUUGGAUUAUUCUUUCCACUGGGUUUCUCCUCCUGAUCUUCCCAAGACUCUCCUGUGACCCUGUGGCUCGCUCAGAAUGACCCUGGGGAGAAAGAUGCACUUCUGAAGGACACGGGAUGAUAACCUGGCCAGGAAGAUGCAUUGCUUUCAUGGAGAUGAGAUUGGCUGUACCCUUCGUUCCUUGUAGAGUAGAAAUGCUGGACCAAUCACGUGUAAGGGAGCAGCACCAUUCCGGAGGCAUGAGCAGGUUCGGGCCGACGUAACUGUGUCUGAGGCAAGGAGAGCAGGCUCACGAAAACACGGCCAGUUCUCCAUAUUCAGCUCUCCACUGUCACCCCACAAGUCAGAGAGGGUCGGAGGCACCUGCUUCCAGGUGGGCAGCAGAGGGCCUGUUAGCGCCGGAGCCUGGGAGAGGCGGGGAGCCCCUGGGCGGCACCAGCCGAGCCCUCGCCGAACCGUCCUGAAGGCCUGGCUUCUCCCUGACCCAGAAUUCCACGAUCCCUUGAAAAGGCAUCGAUGCUGGAUGCCCCCUGUUUAA